AUCCAGCUGACGAGUCCCACAUAAGACGAAACACACGUCCUAGAU
This is a non-coding RNA of Schistosoma mattheei, 45 nucleotides long. The record is from Rfam. Lineage: Eukaryota; Metazoa; Platyhelminthes; Trematoda; Strigeidida; Schistosomatidae.